Molecule: long non-coding RNA, 896 nt
Organism: Acanthaster planci (crown-of-thorns starfish)
Lineage: Eukaryota; Metazoa; Echinodermata; Asteroidea; Valvatida; Acanthasteridae
Source: RefSeq, a predicted model, not a curated record
CAGAAUGCCAGAUGAUUCCGCUAUGUCAGCAUGACAUUUGAGUAGCUCCCAAAAGCGUUUUCUCGUUGGCCAAAAGAUACAAUUAGAGGCACUUUUGCCAAGUAGGCACAAAUCCAGUUGCCUCAUGCAACAACUUACCUGUUGCGGUUAGAACAGAACCGAGGAAAACCCUGCCUGUCAGAUUUUGUUGUCAAGGCCAGCAUUGGAGCAGAACUCAACCACCUUACACACUUUCUACUAAAGAGAAACUCAUGGUCAGUGGUCACUCUUGAUGUCAAGCACAACUACCCUGCUACCCAUGCUACCCAGUGUCACAAAUUGAUUUGGAUGACACAACGUCUACAAAUACUCAAGUGCAGUGCUGAGAAUUGAGCAAGCAAGAGUUGACACACUGCGGGAGCCGGAACUUAAGUAUAAGGGAUGUAUACAUUGAAAACUACAUGUAUUUCUAAAUGAGAAAGAACAAAGCCUUGGUGCAUUUUUAUGACAAUGAACUCUAAUCUUCUGUGAUUGUAAGGAGCUUGAAAUGAUUUGUAAAGAUUCAAAUUGAUUUUGUAUUUCACUGAUUAAAUUUAAAUUUGAUCUUUUUUGGAGUAAAAAAAUACGUUAAAUUGGAUAGCUGAGAAUCAGAAAACAAAGAGAUAAUUUAACGGUUUAUUGUAAACCUCAUUUUUUCCUUCAACUUGAUGAAAUCCUUGAUUGAAUUGUGCUCUUUUUAUGCCUAUGUAUAAAGUUUUGUAAAAAAAAACAGUUGUAAACCAGAAAGGAAGAACACUUCAAUACUGAGAAGUUUCCGCCUCAUCCUUUGGCAGUCUCAUUCUUACAUACUGCAAAUGUGUUUAGUUGAAAUAUGUACAAAUUGGCAAAAUUAAAGGAAAAGGGAAAAAUGUACAAAU